Molecule: long non-coding RNA, 440 nt
Organism: Portunus trituberculatus (swimming crab)
Lineage: Eukaryota; Metazoa; Arthropoda; Malacostraca; Decapoda; Portunidae
Exons: 3
Source: RefSeq, a predicted model, not a curated record
GCCAGUAGCCUGGCGGCCAAGGCGCCAGUAGUAUGAGAAGGAAGGACUGAGAGAGUGUCAGUGUCUGGAGGGCGGCCGUGUGCUGCUGGUGCUUUAUUUAAUAUGGAUAUACGGUGACACGGGCCUGCCUGCCUGUGUGUGCUGGUGCAAGCUUGGUGCCUGGGUGGGAGGGCCAGGGGUUGCUGCUGGGACGGCCAACAACACUGUAAUAUUGGAUAUAGAAAAUGGGAAGUAUAGGACAUAGAAAACGACAGUUACUUCAAGUGGCCACCGCCCUCGCUACUGGCUUCCUUGUGGGCGUGGCACUGUCCCCGCCCACGCCUACACACGCCCAUCUCACUCUCCGUACCUCCUGACACGCCCCGCCCCGCCAGCAGCCCCGCAGUGAGCCCGGCCACCACCACCACUACUACCAGCACCAGCACUGCCACCUCCACCAC